Molecule: ribosomal RNA, 252 nt
Filed under: uncultured prokaryote
Description: partial 16S ribosomal RNA
Rfam family: Bacterial small subunit ribosomal RNA
Source: RNAcentral
ACGUAGGAGGCAAGCGUUAUCCGGAGUUACUGGGCGUAAAGGGCGUGCAGGCGGUUGGCUAAGUUCGUUGUGAAAGCGCCCAGGCUUAACCGGGCGAGGACAAUGAAGACUGGUCAGCUAGAGGCAGGUAGAGGCGUGUGGAAUUCCGGGUGUAGUGGUGAAAUGCGUAGAGAUCCGGAGGAACACCAGUGGCGAAAGCGACUCUCUGGCCCGUAACUGACGCUGAGGUGCGAAAGCUAGGGGAGCAAACGG